GUUUAAACACCAGUUCACGUAAGAUCACCGAAGUUAAGCAACAUUGAACCUGGUCAGUACCUAAAUUGGUGACCGCUUGGGAAUACCAGCUGCUA
Molecule: non-coding RNA, 95 nt
Organism: Acanthosepion pharaonis
Lineage: Eukaryota; Metazoa; Mollusca; Cephalopoda; Sepiida; Sepiidae
Source: the annotation of a GenBank genome assembly